This 253-nucleotide ribosomal RNA is filed under the name uncultured bacterium. RNAcentral describes it as "partial 16S ribosomal RNA". It matches the Rfam family "Bacterial small subunit ribosomal RNA", at positions 524 to 776 of the family's 1533-position model. The record is from RNAcentral.
UACGUAGGGGGCAAGCGUUGUCCGGAUUCAUUGGGCGUAAAGAGCGUGUAGGCGGCCAGAUAGGUCGGUUGUGAAAACUGGAGGCUCAACCUCCUGACGUCGACCGAAACCCUCUGGCUAGAGUCCGGAAGAGGAGAAUGGAAUUCCUGGUGUAGCGGUGAAAUGCGCAGAUAUCAGGAAGAACACCCGUGGCGAAGGCGGUUCUCUGGGACGGUACUGACGCUGAGACGCGAAAGCGUGGGGAGCGAACAGG